AGGUAUUUAGUAUUAAUAAAAACAUUUGAUUUCGGCUCAAAAGAUUAUGGUUCAAACCCAUAUUUACCUA
RNAcentral lists this transfer RNA (70 nucleotides) under Macrognathus pancalus (barred spiny eel). RNAcentral's name for it is "tRNA-Arg". It matches the Rfam family "tRNA". Rfam says of the family: Transfer RNA (tRNA) molecules are approximately 80 nucleotides in length. Their secondary structure includes four short double-helical elements and three loops (D, anti-codon, and T loops). Lineage: Eukaryota; Metazoa; Chordata; Actinopteri; Synbranchiformes; Mastacembelidae. The record is from RNAcentral.